AGGGAAGGUAAUAGUUGUUAGUUUUAGAUCUAUAUGGGCCAAAAUUAGGUUGGGCCCUUUUCCAUGCCUCAUUUUGAUUUUCCACUUUUAGGGCUGGCUCUAUAAUUUGGUCCAUCCUUUGAGCCUUGAGUAUGACUUCCGCCUGUCUUGCCGGUUUCAUGCCACUGGUGAAUUUCCUUUCAUCACCGCUUCCAGGCUCGUCGACGAUGGAGCUUCUAGAUUUUCCAUCAUUCUUUAAUCCUCCUUGACCGUACUCUCCUCUUAAAAAAACCAGCCAGCUGAAUUAUCACCAUGGAACACUGCAUCUGGAAUUGUCAGCAUCUUCAUCUUCUCCUACGUGUUUUGUAGCAACCAUUCUAGUUCAGAACUCUUCGAUAGAGGAGACUCUACAACUCCCAAUGGCUUCCCCUUCUCUUUUAUUGUGUCUUCUUAUUGAGGUGGAUUCUAGUUUGUGCCCUCUUGAGACAAACCAAAUCUGUCAAUCAUCAACCCUUUCAAUUCUCUCCAAGUUAGCACGGUCCGUUGUCGAUCGACAUCCUAAAACCAAUUCCAUAUUUGCCGGUCAAAAUAGGUUGUUGUAGCCUCUAUUUUCUCUGCCUCCAAUAAUUGAGUUCUGGAGAAGAUCCCUUCCGCCAAGUACAGCCACCAUUUUGUGUUUUCUCCGUGGAAUAUUGAUAUAUUUAGCUGGUUGUAUGAAUCCAGCCCCGAGUCAUCGUCUCGAUCUCCUUCCCAUCACAUUACCAUCUUCUCAAGCCGAUUCAAUAGCGAGAUCCAACUCUCUUCUAAUUCUCUGUUGAAAUUAGUUCUUCUGUCUGAGAAAGAAUGCUCUGAUACCAACUUGAUAGGAACUGGUUUGCUGGUGAAGUUCUAAUCAAUUUAGACGUUGCUGCUGAUCUAUAUAGCUACUGGAAAAUUUCUUCUCUGUUGCAACAGUAGAUCUAAUGGCCGCAGCAGCUGGUGAAUCUGCUCUGGACAUGUAUAUCUGUUGAUGAACCUAUCUACAGGAUCUAAUUAGAUAGUAGAAAUUGUAACCGGUAUAUGAAGGAAUGAAGAGAAAUUGUAUGAUUUGUGAAUUGUAUAAUAUUGACUAUUGAAGAACAAUGUAUUUGAACUUGAAUGUAUUAAAGCAGAGAAUGAAUAAUAAAACAAUUCCAGACAUUCAAGAGGCUUACA
RNAcentral lists this long non-coding RNA (1173 nucleotides) under Olea europaea subsp. europaea. Lineage: Eukaryota; Viridiplantae; Streptophyta; Magnoliopsida; Lamiales; Oleaceae. The record is from RNAcentral.